This is a long non-coding RNA of Mastomys coucha (southern multimammate mouse), 3130 nucleotides long. RefSeq lists it as uncharacterized. NCBI's taxonomy places the organism in Eukaryota, Metazoa, Chordata, Mammalia, Rodentia, Muridae. The transcript is spliced from 5 exons. The record is from RefSeq and is a predicted model, not a curated record.
AAAGAGUUUCAGAGUUAUUUGAGGAGCAGGGAUGCCCACGGGCUCCAACCAAUGCCAUCGUUACUUGUUUUGUGUUUUGUUUUAAUUAUUAGCGAUGCCGUUGGAUGAGACUUGGUUGUUUCAUAUAAAAGAAAAAGAAUUUUCUCUGAGGGAGCCAGGAGCAGCACUCCAAUCCUCAGGGUUGUUUAUUUUAAAUGGGGCUCUGCACGGCGUUAUUUUUGACAGGUGUCGAUGACCCUUCGGGUUCUUUUAAAGUUAUAUUUUUAUUUACAUUCCUGUGUGAGGGGAGGGGAGAGGAGGGAAGAGGAUGGGAGGAGCGUCCUGUGUGCAUGCCUGCAAGUGCACCAAUGUUCAGCAGAGGGCACUGAAUACUGGUGAACUAGGGUAACAGAUGGUUGUGAGCUGCCUGAACAGAGUACUUCAAAACAAAUUUGUCAGGUCCCAGAAAAUCUGAUGGCCUUUGUAAGCCCCUCCUGAAUCUGCAGGGAAUCUGAAUCCAUUUCCAUCGUCUGGACAGAGACAAAGGAAGGAAAGGAGCAACCUACGGUAGUUAUGAAACCACUGGCUUAACAUUCGAGACACUGCCGCCAACACCAGAGGCUGUUUGUUCCUGAUUUCUGUUUAAGGCCUUGGCUGUGUUUCAUAAGCAGUUCUGGGAAAUUAUGGAGCAGCUGCCAAGCUCCAGAUCAUGGGAUACAGACAAGGAUAGCUGUGCUACCCUCGACAAGAAGUGUAUAUUCUAAAGGGUGUCAGCUACCCUUAAAUGGAAAUGAAUGAGUUUUCCAGGCUCUAGAAUAACCUACAGUUGUUACCCUGAGAAAAUCCCUUUAGAGAUUCAAAGUUAUUUAACCCAAUUGCAUCCCUGGCAUUUAAACUGUCAUUUUUGCCUCUGUAAAUCACAGAUUCCACCCCUGCCCAACACUGGCCUUGUAUGCUUUCCUUUGAAGCCCUUGAUUACCCCCUCUUUGCUCCAAGAAUGCUGUGCUGUAUCUCUGCAAAAUCAGAAUGCCUGCCUUCAAGGUCUACCAUCAGCACAAACUGUCCUUGGAUCAGCUUGAAGGAGGGCUGCAUGUAAGUGGCACAUAAAAUAAACUAUCACCAAGUCCACUUUGUCAAGUUAAUACUUUGUGUGUAUCUCUUAUUAAUCAGUAUUUUAGUCUCUGAGGUUAAUGAUCAAGCCACAGAUGUGCUGCACCUUCCCCAGUAUAUGCAUCCUAUAUACUAUAUCAUAAAAUUAAUAAUAUUUCAAUACUAAAGUAAAAUCAAUACAUCUUAUGUUGUAUGAUAAAGUAAAGAGAAAACAAAAGAAAGAUAUUUAUUCAUUAUACAUUACAUGUGUUCACAAUACCAAUUCUGUUUACUGAGCAUAUGGUCAUGGUCACUAUUUACAACUCCUUUGUUUUACAGUAUAAAGAAAGAUGUAUGUAUAACUAAAUAGUCCUAUUGAGGUGUGGUUCAUCGCUGCCCUGUUGACCGACCUUUGUCUCCAUCUCUCCUGUAAUGUGGUUGAAUAACUUGCCAGAACUGUGUGAAAUCCCUUCCUAUUGUCAAGCUCUUCCUCUGGCAGGUGCUAUGACCUCAGCUUUUCCCUUCCUAUUAUAUGGAAUUCCUGGGAAAGUGUAAUUAUUUGUAUGUUUUGUUACAAUAGUAUGGUACCUGAUGGAAAGGUUAACACUGUUUUUGUUAUUGUUGCUAUUUGGUUUGUUUGUUUGAUUGUUUGUUUCUAGAAUAUCUCCUUUCCUGUCAAGAAACAUGGAACAUUAGGGAGAUUCUAAUUAAACAAAAACAUUUGAAAGAUUUCAAUAAAAAUGUCCUGUGUCUAUCAUACUUUCCUACAUUGUUAGGACAUGUUUCCUAAAACAUAAGCAAAGUUCCCUGCCAUAAGUCACACAUGGUGAUGUAUGCAAGUCUGUAUAGAGUUGUGCCUAGAAAUCCAUAUAUAUGCUCCUAGCUGGGAACCAGAUUAGCGGGGUUACACAAUGGCACCUAGAACUAAGUAUCAGGUGCUACACAAGUACACUACAGAAGAUCAAAUCGAACACAAGACAGUGAUAAAUAUCAUGCCUUCAUUUGGAUUCUUCUGAAGUAUAAAUGGCCAUUUGUUAUUGGAGUUAAUGAGGUGGUGGUCGAACUCAGCAUGAGAAAGUUUGCCUGCAAGCCAAGCCUGGUGUCACUGGUUUCUAUCCAUACCUGAGAAGCUGAGCCAGGAGAAUGGCUGUUGAAAGACUGACUGCCUGACCACAGAGCAAGCACAAAGCCAUCCUGUGCAAUUUAGUGAAGUCCUUACUGAAAAAAGGUAAGGCAAGGUCUGGGGAUACAGGACUGUGAUGGCCUAGUAAGCACAUACUUGUCUAGUAUGCACAAGGCCCUAGAUUCAAUCCCUAGUGCUUAUAUAAGGCGGGGGGGGGGGGGCUAGAAAAAAAGGAAGAAAGGAGGGAAAAAGGAAGAAAGAGAGGGAAUAAACAACAGAAAAAAAGAAAAUGUUGGCUCCAUACCAUACCAAUCUCUGAAAAGGAAAUUUCUUGGAAAAAUUAGAUUGUCUUGAUCAUAUUUCACAUGAGAUAAUCUUACAGAAAAUAUUCUUUCACAGAAAACCCUGCCUAUGAUCUAAAUUCAUUGCCAAAAACAAAAUUGCAUUGCUUAACAGAUGAUGAAAGCACCUGUGUAGUCAAUUAUGAUCCCAUCCAAGACCGAACUUGUUGUCUAAUCACCUCCCUUAAGCUACAAGUUACUGCUUGCUUGCUUGGCUUGACUUUUGUUUUGCAGAGAGACCUUGAAAAUUAACAGAGCGUGAUUAGUGAUGUUGAAUACGUUCUCAUACAUCUGUCCUCCGUUUGCAUGUCUUUUGAAUAAGCAUCUGUUCAAGCCCUCUACUUCUCUAUUAAUCUGGUUACUUACCCCUUGCUACCUCAAAAGGGUAUAAAGUAUUGUGAUGGUUUGUCUUGAUGGCUACUUGACUGGAUUGAUAGAACUGAUGAAACACACUUGUGCUUCUGUGAGUGUUUCAACAGCAGAGUGCUCUGUGGGAAAAUAGUAACAUGGCUAAAGGAAUACACCUUCAAUAUGUACAUAAAUUCCACCAAGUGGCUGCAUGGAAAAGCAAAAAUAAAGGAGUUAGCUACACUGAAAA